UAGAGGAAAGGGGGCAAACCUAAAAGGGGGCAAAGCGCCAAUCACCAUCAGCUGCAGCCGCUACAUCAUUCCUCGUCAUGGAUCUGCUCAAGCUGCCGCAUAGCUCCCGUGCACGAAUGGAAGGUGGAGAGGCACGUCCGCUAUUCGUCCCUCUGCCGUGCACAUCCCGGUGUCGCCGCGUGGCUUCCCAACCGCCCCGGUGUCGUCGUCGUCAACCUUCCCCCUUGCCCUGCUGUGCGCCGCUCGAACGUACCCUCUUCCCGCUUCCUGCAAAAAACUCGAGUGUUGUUGACAAAUGCUGCACAUGUUUAUUUGAAGCAUCUUAAUUUAUCCAAGCACACCAAGAAGCUUUCUCUAGCAAGCAGAGCUAUUUUGCUAUCUGGUCCUGGAGACUAUGGUGAUUGGUUACUCUCUAGGUGUUGGACCUAUUCCUUGCUAGUUUUCCUCAGUGAAAAGUGGAGGAGUUCAACCUUUUAUUUUCAUGGAUUUAAUAAGCAGUUGUGUGAUUCUUUCUCUUUCGAAGUUUUAGUUUGGCUUCUGUUGAAAAUUUCAUGAAAUGUUUGUUCUUUUUCUGAGCAGGCAGAGGAAGGCAGUGAUGAAGUCUAUUGCCAGGUCUUGUUGGUUCCUGAAAGUGAGGUGAGAUUUAUACAAGACUAUGAAUUCUGAAUUAUGAAUUUAGGAUAUUUAUGAUCUUAAUUUGUUUUAGUUUAGAUUUGAAGAAGAAAUUGAGAAACAUACUUCAAAUUCUCUCAACAUUUUAGUACUACUUAGUGCCUAGACCUUAGGGGUCAAUUAAAAGUAAGAUUGACUAAGCUUUGCUUAAUUUAGCUGCGUGUCAUGUUUCUGGGAAACCAAAUAACACAAAAAGUACACAACGGUACCUGUGUAUUUGUCUAUGUUACCUAGCUCUUCAACUUUACUUUCUAACUGGUAAAAAAGAAGUACAAAGUUUCUUGUUAGAAGAGUGAAAGGGAAAGGAAAGAUAUGUGUUUACUAUUAAAUGAAGCGCCUCUAUUAGUUGAUGCUGAUGGUGAAGAAGAUGAUACUGAAGCUGUGGUGAAGUCAACAACACCCCAUAUGUUUUGCAAGACUCUUACUGCUUCUUACACUAGC
Molecule: long non-coding RNA, 1113 nt
Organism: Arachis duranensis
Lineage: Eukaryota; Viridiplantae; Streptophyta; Magnoliopsida; Fabales; Fabaceae
Exons: 3
Source: RefSeq, a predicted model, not a curated record